AAGUGAUAGAAUUAAUGAGAAGAUUUACUUUGAAAAAAAAUUCUUAUGUUAAUUAUACAACUCUGCCUAAUGAGUUCAUGUAUCAUGUGUUUAAGACCCAAAGAAAGUUACACAACAUCUUAAACCCAUAUUUUAACUAUAUGUCAGGUCAAAGUUCGGUUUUGAGUUUAUUGAUGGUAUAUGUAUAAAUGAUUAGUCAAUUGCAUAUGUGCCAUUUGAGUCAUUUUGGUUGCAUGUGUGCCGAGAUGAUUUCCUUUAGCUUAGAGAACCUUGGAUAGCUGGGUUCUUUUUAUUGAUUUAAUUUAUUUAAUUAUUUAUUUGUAUGUUCUAAUAUGCGAGCUUGGACUAUAUCUGGUGUAGUUAGAGCAGCCAUUGAUUAUUUAUUCACAUAUGAUAUUAUAUAUAAUCUUGAUUAUUUAUUUGUUUUGAUGCAGUUGAGAUAUAAUUGGGAUAAUUUUAUCGACAGAGAAAUGAAAAAGGUAUGGAAUGAAAAUUCAAGUGAGAGAUACAGGGCAUCCAUUCAUUUGGCUAAGAAAGCAACAUUAUCAUCUGCACAAGAAGAUUUAGGAAGGAAACCAGACAUUUUAGAUAUGAUAGGUAGAGGACCUGAUUGGAUGGAAGCUAAUAUAUGGAAUGACUUGGUUAAUAUUCAUUGGAAUAAACCAGAUCACAAGAUCAAAUGUGAAAUUGCACGGAAGAAUAAAAUGACAGCGAAGGAUGGGUCUACUAUCAAACAUACUGGGAGUUCAAUUUCUUUUGUAGCACACCGUGAGAGAAUGAAAAAAGAUUUGGGACGAGAUGUGGAUGAAUUUGAGGUUUUUGAACGAAUGCAUAAAAGAAAGUAAGGAACAAUAUAAAGAGAGACAAAAUGUUGAUGAUCAGUCUACUCGACCUUCAUUCAAUCUCAAAUCAUGGUGUGAUGUGGUGGGCGAUCCAUGUAAGAGGAGGGUGUACGGAUUUGGACG
Zingiber officinale is the source of this 965-nucleotide RNA transcript. RefSeq lists it as uncharacterized. The transcript has 3 exons. The record is from RefSeq and is a predicted model, not a curated record. Lineage: Eukaryota; Viridiplantae; Streptophyta; Magnoliopsida; Zingiberales; Zingiberaceae.